This 89-nucleotide transfer RNA is filed under the name Candidatus Kerfeldbacteria bacterium CG_4_9_14_3_um_filter_45_8. RNAcentral's name for it is "tRNA-Leu". It matches the Rfam family "tRNA". Rfam says of the family: Transfer RNA (tRNA) molecules are approximately 80 nucleotides in length. Their secondary structure includes four short double-helical elements and three loops (D, anti-codon, and T loops). The record is from RNAcentral. Lineage: Bacteria; Candidatus Kerfeldiibacteriota. RNAcentral also lists the same sequence under 1 other name.
GCGCGGGUGGCGGAACUGGUAGACGCGCAAGCUUGAGGGGCUUGUGGGAUUUUUCUCCCGUGGAGGUUCAAGUCCUCUCCCGCGCACCA